UCACAAAAUCCCAAAUGAAAAAAAUGCCAUUCCUCUUACUUAUUAUCUGCAACCAAUAUUAAUCCCAAAAUAGAGAAGAAGAAGAAGAAGAAAAUAAAAAACCAAAAACCAAAAAAUCCAAAAAUCAAAAGUCAAUAGUUUCAGUUUUCACUUCAUAGUUAGCACACUCUUCCUCUCCUCUCCUUCAUUCCUAAACCCAGUACUGUGUAUAUUCCUGAUUCUUCGAACUCAAACCCUAAACCUAAUGGAAGUUACUUCAAUACACGGCAAUCGCAUUUUGUCUCCGCUUCGUUCUUCAAUACACGGCAAUCGUCCUCUCUCAGUCCUCUCUAGGGUUUCAUUCUCAGCUCGGAGGAACCCUAGCCUCGCAUCCAACUACCACUCGAUUCGCCGGAGGAAUCCAUGCUCUGCGUCGAGCUCCGACACCUUGGUGGCCGGAAAAGAUGGGAAGCCAAAGAAUCGGGAAGUUGAGAGCAAGAAAGGGGAGGAGGAAGGUGAAGACUUGAAAUCUUGGAUGCACGAGAAUGGCCUCCCGCCUUGCAAGGUUUUGCUCAAGGAAAGGCCCUCCCACGAUGAGAAGCACAGUCCCAUACAUUACGUAGCUGCUAGUGAAGAUCUUCAGGUGGGUGAUGUUGCAUUCUCUGUUCCGAAUUCGCUGGUCGUGACGCUUGAGAGAGUUUUGGGGAACGAGACCAUUGCGGAAUUAUUAACUACGAAUAAAUUGUCGGAAUUGGCAUGCUUGGCAUUGUAUCUGAUGUAUGAGAAGAAGCAAGGGAAGAAGUCUUUCUGGUACCCAUACAUUAGAGAGCUUGAUCGUCAACGAGGGAGAGGACAGCUUGCAGUGGAAUCUCCCCUUCUAUGGUCAGAAGCUGAACUGGCCUACCUAACAGGCAGCCCCAUGAAGGCUGAAGUUAUUGGAAGGGCUGCAGGAAUUAAAAGGGAGUACAAUGAACUUGACACCGUCUGGUUUAUGGCUGGGUCUCUGUUUCAGCAAUACCCAUAUGAUAUUCCUACUGAGGCCUUUUCAUUUGAGAUAUUCAAGCAAGCAUUCGUUGCUGUUCAGUCUUGUGUUGUGCAUUUGCAGAAAGUCAGUUUGGCUCGGCGAUUUGCUUUGGUUCCUCUUGGACCACCAUUGCUGGCUUACAGAAGCAACUGCAAGGCAAUGUUAACUGCUGUUGAUGGUGCUGUUCAGCUAGUGGUCGAUCGUCCAUACAAGGCUGGGGAGUCCAUUGUUGUUUGGUGUGGACCACAGCCUAACUCAAAAUUGCUUUUGAACUACGGUUUUGUUGAUGAAGAUAAUUCUUAUGAUCGUUUGAUAGUUGAGGCUGCUUUAAAUACUGAGGAUCCUCAAUACCAGGAGAAAAGAAUGGUUGCUCAAAGAAAUGGAAAACUAUCAGUUCAAGUUUUUCAUGUGUAUGUGGGAAAGGAAAAAGAAGCUGUUGCAGAUAUGCUUCCUUAUCUGCGUUUGGGUUAUGUUUCAGAUCCUUCUGAAAUGCAAUCUGUCAUUUCUUCUCAAGGUCCUAUUUGCCCGGUGAGCCCUUGUAUGGAACGAGCAGUGUUGGACCAACUCGCUGAUUACUUUAAGAAACGGCUUGCUGCCUACCCUACUACAUUAGGCGAGGAUGAGUCUUUGUUGGCAGACAGUACUCUUAACCCGAAGAAGCGAGUUGCUACUCAGCUUAUUAAGUUGGAAAAGAAAAUGCUUCAUGCAUGCCUGCAGGCAACAGUUGAUUUGAUAAACCAGUUACCAGAUGACACUGUAUCUCCAUGCCCAGCUCCUUAUGCCCCUUUAUUGAAAUAAAAGAAAUUGAAUAUCCUUUGUAUACUUGCAAACUUUGGGAACUUCUUUGCAGUACAUGGGUAUAUCAGUUCAAAAGGGAGUUCAUAAUCCAGGUAUGUAUAAGAAGCUGUGUUCCGUGUAGUGCAACCAAUGACUGCAAAUUAAAUGGUCACCUACUGUAGUAGCUAUUCAAGAGAGUGAAUCAUGCAUCUUCAGGAGAGUGCAUGUUUUAUUGGUCCCUUGACAUAUUAUUCAACAACCUUCCCUCGUUCUCACAACUUCGUUCCUCAAAAGGUGUAACCAUGUCUUUCUUUCCUCAAAAGUUGUAACUAUAUCGACAAAUGCCCAUGGGAUUGCCUCUUGGUGAAGGAGUGGAAAAGAAAAAUAGAAUACAUUCACUUUAGGGAUGCAUAGAUAUUUUUAGGUAUGUCUUUGUAAAUGCAGACUGAAUUCCAAUGACCAAUCUAAUUCAAUUAUUUUUCUGUAA
Molecule: RNA transcript, 2267 nt
Organism: Quercus robur (English oak)
Lineage: Eukaryota; Viridiplantae; Streptophyta; Magnoliopsida; Fagales; Fagaceae
Exons: 13
Source: RefSeq, a predicted model, not a curated record